AUGGACCGGCAAAUGGAGCAUAUUCUCAACUUUAAGGGCUCAAUAAAAGGGAGAAGAGUGAUCAAUCGGGACAGAGUGUCCGGAGCAAAGCUACUACACAAUGACUACUUUGCUCUCACACUUGCUUUUCCGAAUAACCCAUGGUUUCGUCGCCGUUUCCACAUGCGGAAACCAUUGUUUUUGUGCAUUGUGGAAGCACACCACGACUACUUCAAGCUGAGAAGGGAUUGUUGCGGCCAACUCUCUUUCUCGGCCAAGCACAAGUGCAUGGUUGCUCUGAGGAUGCUUGCACUUGGUACUGCUGCAGACGCCGUUGGUGAGAUGGUUUGGAUGAGGGAGAGCCCGUGCCUCAAGACUACUGUCAAAUUUGCUCGCGUCGUGGUUGAGGUGUUUGGACCGGAGUAUCUCAGAGAACCAAAUGCGCAGGACACGGAGAAGUUGUUGGUGAUUGGAGAGGCAAGGAGGUUUUCAGGAAUGCUCGGAUCAAUUGAUUGCAUGCAUUUGCAAUGGAAAAACUACCCCAAAGGUCAGCGGGGAAUGUAUCAAGAUCACACCAGAGAGGCCACCAUCAUACUAGAAGCGGUGGCAUCACAUGACUUAUGGAUUUGGCAUGCUUUCCUUGGAAUACCCGGUUCUCACAACGACAUCAACGUGCUUCAAUGUCUCCGGUGGUCAGGAGGCUUUGCAAUGGGGAAUCACCGCCAUGCAACUACACUGUCAACGGUCGGGACUACAACAUGGGGUACUAUCUUGCCGACGGUAUCUAUCCUUAGUGGGCAGUGUUUGUGA
RNAcentral lists this ribosomal RNA (789 nucleotides) under Triticum aestivum (bread wheat). RNAcentral's name for it is "partial small subunit ribosomal RNA". The record is from RNAcentral. Lineage: Eukaryota; Viridiplantae; Streptophyta; Magnoliopsida; Poales; Poaceae.